Molecule: ribosomal RNA, 513 nt
Filed under: uncultured bacterium
Lineage: Bacteria
Description: bacterial SSU rRNA
Rfam family: Bacterial small subunit ribosomal RNA
Source: RNAcentral
AGAGUUUGAUUCUGGCUCAGGAUGAACGCUAGCUACAGGCUUAACACAUGCAAGUCGAGGGGUAGCAGGGUAGCAAUACCGCUGACGACCGGCGCACGGGUGAGUAACACGUAUCCAACCUUCCCAUAACUCAGGGAUAGCCUUUCGAAAGAAAGAUUAAUACCUGAUAGUACUUUUUCAAGGCAUCUUGAGAAAGUUAAAGAUUUAUUGGUUAUGGAUGGGGAUGCGUUCCAUUAGAUAGUUGGUGAGGUAACGGCUCACCAAGUCUUCGAUGGAUAGGGGUUCUGAGAGGAAGGUCCCCCACAUUGGUACUGAGACACGGACCAAACUCCUACGGGAGGCAGCAGUGAGGAAUAUUGGUCAAUGGGCGAGAGCCUGAACCAGCCAAGUAGCGUGAAGGAUGAAGGUCCUAUGGAUUGUAAACUUCUUUUAUAGUAGAAUAAAGUGAUCCACGUGUGGAUUUUUGUAUGUAUACCAUGAAUAAGGAUCGGCUAACUCCGUGCCAGCCGCAGC